GAUGAACGCUGGCGGCGUGCCUAAUACAUGCGAGUCGAGCGAACAGACGAGGAGCUUGCUCCUCUGACGUUAGCGGCGGACGGGUGAGUAACACGUGGAUAACCUACCUAUAAGACUGGGAUAACUUCGGGAAACCGGAGCUAAUACCGGAUAAUAUAUUGAACCGCAUGGUUCAAUAGUGAAAGACGGUUUUGCUGUCACUUAUAGAUGGAUCCGCGCCGCAUUAGCUAGUUGGUAAGGUAACGGCUUACCAAGGCAACGAUGCGUAGCCGACCUGAGAGGGUGAUCAGCCACACUGGAACUGAGACACGGUCCAGACUCCUACGGGAGGCAGCAGUAGGGAAUCUUCCGCAAUGGGCGAAAGCUUGACGGAGCAACGCCGCGUGAGUGAUGAAGGUCUUCGGAUCGUAAAACUCUGUUAUUAGGGAAGAACAAAUGUGUAAGUAACUAUGCACGUCUUGACGGUACCUAAUCAGAAAGCCACGGCUAACUACGUG
RNAcentral lists this ribosomal RNA (497 nucleotides) under uncultured bacterium. RNAcentral's name for it is "partial 16S ribosomal RNA". It matches the Rfam family "Bacterial small subunit ribosomal RNA", at positions 28 to 507 of the family's 1533-position model. The record is from RNAcentral.